GAUGAAGAACGUAGCGAAAUGCGAUAAGUAGUGUGAAUUGCAGAAUUCAGUGAAUCAUCGAAUCUUUGAACGCACAUUGCGCUUCCUGGCAUUCCGGGAAGCAUGCCCGUUUCAGAAUCAGCAAAAUAUCUCAUGUUGCUGGUGGUCAGAACUUUGUUCUAGCCUCCAUGUGGACAUGGAUGUGGAUGUGUUUGCCGUGCUGUGUGAGCAGCAUGGGAAUCAUCUUAAAGGCAGUGCAUGUUUUUGGUUCUCGUGUGACGAUCGGACUGCAAGGUGCAACAGAAAUGGGAAUACCCUUUCUCUUUGCUGGCCCAGUCGACACCGACCAUAAGGCAUGCUUCUCCUUCUUUUGACAUGAGGGGUGAUACUUUUCUCCCCAGUCAUCUUUGGUCUGAAAUCGGGCAGGAAAACCCGCUGAACUUAAGCAUAUCAAUAAGCGGAGGA
Molecule: unclassified non-coding RNA, 444 nt
Filed under: soil metagenome
Description: partial contains 5.8S ribosomal RNA, internal transcribed spacer 2, and large subunit ribosomal RNA
Rfam family: 5.8S ribosomal RNA (bases 1-120)
Source: RNAcentral